AACCUCUGGAGAACUCUUAAAUGAGUGCCGACGGUGCAAGGCUUUCGGGCAGCGCGCAUUCCCAUGUGCCCCGGAACAAAGCCGAAUCUCUCAGGCAAAAGGACAGAGAA
RNAcentral lists this non-coding RNA (110 nucleotides) under uncultured Slackia sp. RNAcentral describes it as "Glycine riboswitch". It matches the Rfam family "Glycine riboswitch aptamer", at positions 9 to 86 of the family's 94-position model. From Rfam's summary of the family: This family represents the bacterial glycine riboswitch. Glycine riboswitches usually consist of two metabolite-binding aptamers domains with similar structures in tandem. The record is from RNAcentral. Lineage: Bacteria; Bacillati; Actinomycetota; Coriobacteriia; Eggerthellales; Eggerthellaceae.